Molecule: long non-coding RNA, 690 nt
Organism: Anneissia japonica
Lineage: Eukaryota; Metazoa; Echinodermata; Crinoidea; Comatulida; Comatulidae
Exons: 4
Source: RefSeq, a predicted model, not a curated record
AUUAUUAUCGUUAUCAGAAACACAUUAACUUAAGCAUGAUGACACAUGUUUCAAAACCUUAUUCGUUUUUGUAAAUAUGGUAUCAAAUAUUACAAAUAGGUCUGCAUGGAGAUCGGAUAUUUAAUGUUGCUUUUGAAACCAAUGAGAGUUCGACUCGUUUAGGCUACCCUCCCGCAUUUCCUGCCUUCGAUGAUGAUAUAGGUCCAGAUCCACAUGAUUCAAACGGUAAAGCAGUGUGCUCUCACACUGACAACGAAUAUGAACCUUGGUGGUACGUAGACAUACAGGACUUGCAUACAAUUAAACAUGUUGUCCUUUACAACAGACAAGAUCAACCUGGACGCCUAGAAGGUGCUCAAGUAAGAGUUGGAAAAAGUAAAAACAAUUUAAAGCUAAAUACCGCAUGUGGGCCGCCUGUAUCAGAGGAUGAUGCCAGUGUAGCAGCCGGAAUCAUAACAUUAAGAUGUGAACCUGGAACUAUCGGAAACAUUGUGUCUGUCCAGCUGGAGAACAGAACACAAUUUUUGGCAUUAUGUGAAGUGAUAUUAUAUGGGACAAUAUACACAGAAUAUUUAACGACAAUAGUAGUGGAGCAAACUGAACGAGCAGUUACAUUGCCGUCGUGUAAGUACUGUAGAUAGGCUAUAAAACAAUCUUGACAUUAAUAUAUACACAAUAAAACCAGUAACA